Molecule: unclassified non-coding RNA, 538 nt
Filed under: Bartonella henselae
Lineage: Bacteria; Pseudomonadati; Pseudomonadota; Alphaproteobacteria; Hyphomicrobiales; Bartonellaceae
Description: partial miscellaneous RNA
Rfam family: tRNA (bases 73-146)
Source: RNAcentral
AAACGCUUUCCUUGAUAAAAUUUAAGCGUUUUAUAAGAGGAUGCCGGGGAAGGUUUUCCGGUUUAUCCCGGAGGGCUUGUAGCUCAGUUGGUUAGAGCGCGCGCUUGAUAAGCGUGAGGUCGGAGGUUCAAGUCCUCCCAGGCCCACCAGUUUAUCCAUUACUUUCAUAAGUGCUUUUAAAAAAUAAGUACUUCUAAAAAGAUUGCUUCUAAAAAGCUUAUCAAAAUUGACAGGCUUAUUGCUUUUGUGUGAGUAAUCCAAAGUUAAAGCAAAUUAAUGGCAAAAAAACAGUUCAAAUGCUAAAUACUAAGGAGUCAAAAUUCCUUGCAAAGUGAUUUUUACAGCGUCCAUUUGGUUGAUAUAAAUUCCAAAUGCUCAUAGACGUCAAUGCCUAUAUGAAACUAUCGGUUCAAUCAUAUCGCUUUGAGUUAUAUAGAUUUUGUAAUCCCUCUUUUGAUCGUUUUAAACGCUUUAUUCUGAUUUAGGGGCCGUAGCUCAGCUGGGAGAGCACCUGCUUUGCAAGCAGGGGGUCGUCGGU